GUGACCUUAAUAAAAACGAUGUUUCCUGUAUGACAGAGGAAAGAAAACCCUCCUCAUUUCUCAUCACCGAAAAAGAGUCAAUCAAGUUAUUUCCAAUUAGGCUCAGAAUAAGGUGAAACGUUUUCAAGGUAUCCAGAACACUGCUUCAGUAAAUUCAGCAAAUUAUCGAGCCACGUGAGUUUGUUUUGGAUGCCUUUGAAAUUUAAGGCUGUGUUAAUUUAUCCUGUAAGAUUUAUUUCAGUUGUAAUCUUAGUUUUGAAAUGAAGAAGUUCAUUUUGGGUCUUGAAACGGUUGUCAUUCAUUUUACCUUGUCUAUAAGUCAGAAAAUUAUGAAUGUGUUUUCCUGUAUGUUUUCCCCAUUUCUCAUUUAGAUGAGUCAGUGAUGAAACACUGAAUUUAUGUAGUUUGACUGUGAAUGCCUAUAAAAAAAAACCACUCCAAAAUGCUCAGAGCAUGCAGAAUUAGUGCUGGUAUGUACGAUUGCUCCUGCAGAAGUAUUCUAUAUUCAUCCUUAAUGCAGCAGGCUCAGGCAUAACUAUGUUUUAUCACUGGAAUCUGUUAUCAGGCUGCUGUCAGUGACGGGUUCUUGAAUUCAGUCCCUUAAGCUGGAUCG
Molecule: long non-coding RNA, 613 nt
Filed under: Bos taurus (domestic cattle)
Lineage: Eukaryota; Metazoa; Chordata; Mammalia; Artiodactyla; Bovidae
Description: long non-coding RNA NONBTAT027111
Source: RNAcentral